Molecule: transfer RNA, 68 nt
Filed under: Lagria rufipennis
Lineage: Eukaryota; Metazoa; Arthropoda; Insecta; Coleoptera; Tenebrionidae
Description: tRNA-Trp
Source: RNAcentral
UAAGGAUUUAAGUUAAAACUUAAACUAAUAACCUUCAAAGUUAUAAAUGAAAUAAUUUCAAGCCUUAA